CCUACGGGAGGCAGCAGUGGGGAAUAUUGCGCAAUGGGCGAAAGCCUGACGCAGCGACGCCGCGUGAAGGAAGAAGGGUUUCGGCUCGUAAACUUCUAUCAACAGGGACGAAAGAAAUGACGGUACCUGCAAAGGAAGCACCGGCUAACUCCGUGCCAGCAGCCGCGGUAAUACGGAGGGUGCGAGCGUUACUCGGAAUUACUGGGCGUAAAGCGCUCGUAGGCGGUAUGUCAAGUCAAGGGUGAAAUCCCCGCGCUCAACGUGGGAACUGCCUUUGAAACUGGCAAACUGGAGUGUGUGAGAGGAGAGUGGAAUUCCAGGUGUAGGAGUGAAAUCCGUAGAUAUCUGGAGGAACAUCAGUGGCGAAGGCGACUAUCUGGCACAUAACUGACGCUGAGGAGCGAAAGCGUGGGUAGCAAACAGGAUUAGAUACCCGAGUAGUC
This 443-nucleotide ribosomal RNA is filed under the name uncultured bacterium. RNAcentral's name for it is "partial 16S ribosomal RNA". It matches the Rfam family "Bacterial small subunit ribosomal RNA", at positions 338 to 795 of the family's 1533-position model. The record is from RNAcentral.